AACGAACGCUGGCGGCAGGCCUAACACAUGCAAGUCGAACGCCCUAGCAAUAGGGAGUGGCAGACGGGUGAGUAACACGUGGGAACCUUCCCUAUAGUAUGGAAUAGCCCAGGGAAACUUGGAGUAAUACCGUAUACGCCCGAGAGGGGAAAGAUUUAUCGCUAUAGGAUGGGCCCGCGUAGGAUUAGCUAGUUGGUGAGGUAAUGGCUCACCAAGGCGACGAUCCUUAGCUGGUCUGAGAGGACGACCAGCCACAAUGGGACUGAGACACGGCCCAUACUCCUACGGGAGGCAGCAGUGGGGAAUUUUACGCAAUGGGCGAAAGCCUGACGUAGCGACACCGCGUGAGGGAAGAAGGCCUUCGGGUUGUAAACCUCUGUCAUGGGGAAGAAGGAAGUGACGGUACCCAAGAGGAAGCCCUGCUAACUACGUG
RNAcentral lists this ribosomal RNA (433 nucleotides) under uncultured bacterium. RNAcentral's name for it is "bacterial SSU rRNA". It matches the Rfam family "Bacterial small subunit ribosomal RNA", at positions 29 to 507 of the family's 1533-position model. The record is from RNAcentral.